GCAUCUAUAGUCUACCCUACCAAGCGACAGACAGCAAAAGUCAAAACAAGUUCACGAAAAUCACACACAAUUCACAACCACCACAAAAAUGAUAGAAGACCACCGUGCCGAACCUUCCCAUGCCGCCAUCUUUGCAGUGGUGGUUGUGUUAGAAGUAGUGGUGCCAAGAUUACUCGGUGACAAAGAUGAAGCCCUUACUAAGUUCAUCGUCGAGUUACUCACCUUGUUGGGCUCCUC
RNAcentral lists this long non-coding RNA (237 nucleotides) under Olea europaea (common olive). RNAcentral's name for it is "long non-coding RNA (OEUR_LNC015086)". Lineage: Eukaryota; Viridiplantae; Streptophyta; Magnoliopsida; Lamiales; Oleaceae. The record is from RNAcentral.